Molecule: long non-coding RNA, 702 nt
Filed under: Homo sapiens (human)
Lineage: Eukaryota; Metazoa; Chordata; Mammalia; Primates; Hominidae
Description: non-protein coding CBR3-AS1:17
Source: RNAcentral
CCAUGGGUGUCGCUUCGUAGCCGGGCUGCUCCGGGAAAGGCCUCGUACAGGAAAACUAGACAAUCCACCAGCCCAGGAGGGGACAAGCAGGCUUAUUCCUCCUCCUCGUCAUCUCUGGCUCCAGCCCCACCCUGGCCCUUGCUGGCAUUCUUCCUCUUCACGUGGCUGGGGUUGGCCACCCCAAUAGGGAAGCAGAGGGAGAAGUCAAUGUGCUUCUGGGAAUCCAGGCGGACAGUGAAGAACAGGAUAUUUACCACCUGCUCACGGACACGGAUAUGACACUGUUGAAUCAGCACAUGAGCGUGGCGGAUGGACUUAGCCAAGCCAAGCUUGAAGACCUGGGUCUGUAGGAAUCUCUAAGAAAUCAUUGAUCUUCAGGCCCAGGAUGUAAUCCAGCUUCAUCUUGCCCUCAUCCAGCACCCCAGUGCGGACCAGCCACUGCAGCAGGGCAAUGCCUUCGAACAGACGCCGUGGGUCCUUCUCAUCAAGCGUCAGCAGCUCCCGGGCGGCCUUAUGGAUCUUGACCAGGGUAAAUUUGACCCUCCAGACCUCACAUUUGUUCUGGAGCCCAUACUCACCAAUCAGCUUUAGCUUUUGGUCGAGAUGAGGUUUCUCGAAGGGUCUCUGCAGGGUCACAUAAGUUUGGCAACAAACCCAGCUCUGGGCCGCUGGCAUGUUGGCUCCACUUGCCCGUCUAUGCCU